RNAcentral lists this ribosomal RNA (429 nucleotides) under Chloroflexota bacterium. Its description in RNAcentral is "Chloroflexi bacterium partial 16S ribosomal RNA". It matches the Rfam family "Bacterial small subunit ribosomal RNA", at positions 355 to 776 of the family's 1533-position model. RNAcentral also lists the same sequence under 1 other name. The record is from RNAcentral. Lineage: Bacteria; Bacillati; Chloroflexota.
UAGGGAAUCUUCGGCAAUGGACGAAAGUCUGACCGAGCAACGCCGCGUGAGUGAAGAAGGUUUUCGGAUCGUAAAACUCUGUUGUUAGAGAAGAACAAGGACGUUAGUAACUGAACGUCCCCUGACGGUAUCUAACCAGAAAGCCACGGCUAACUACGUGCCAGCAGCCGCGGUAAUACGUAGGUGGCAAGCGUUGUCCGGAUUUAUUGGGCGUAAAGCGAGCGCAGGCUGUUUCUUAAGUCUGAUGUGAAAGCCCCCGGCUCAACCGGGGAGGGUCAUUGGAAACUGGGAGACUUGAGUGCAGAAGAGGAGAGUGGAAUUCCAUGUGUAGCGGUGAAAUGCGUAGAUAUAUGGAGGAACACCAGUGGCGAAGGCGGCUCUCUGGUCUGUAACUGACGCUGAGGCUCGAAAGCGUGGGGAGCAAACAGG